Long non-coding RNA from Myodes glareolus (Bank vole), 809 nucleotides. RefSeq lists it as uncharacterized. The record is from RefSeq and is a predicted model, not a curated record. Lineage: Eukaryota; Metazoa; Chordata; Mammalia; Rodentia; Cricetidae.
GGGAGGGGCACAAGAAACGGGCAGAAAGGGCCACCUCACAUCCUGAGCUCAGUCAAAGACGCUGGUGGUCAAAGUCUCCUCCCAGCUUCAGAGAACUGUUUCUUUUGUCUUCAAUAAACUUUGCUUCCUUGCUGGCCAUCCUUUGACCCCGGCUGAAAAAGAUAUGAAGUUAACAAGAGGCCUUAUUGGGAAGGUGCUCCCAGCAGAACUGAGAGGGAAUAAGAGAAGGAAGAGGGCUGAUGAAACAGGGCAUCGUGGUACACGCCUGGAAUUCCAGCCCUCGGUAGCAGGAAGAUCACGAGUCCAAGGUCAUCCUCAACUACGUAGAAAGUAGGAAGCCAACCUUGGAUACCGAAGACCCUGUCUCAAAAACAAAGACAAACAGAAGUGUAGGGAAGGCCUUGCAGUGCCAACUGUGAAUUGCUAGUGAGAAUAAAAAUGUCCUGGGCUCUUUGGAAAACAGUUUUGGAGUUCCAUAAAAUCUUAGACAUAGGUGUGGUGGGUAUGGUGCCAUCUGCACAGCAUAGCCAUAACAGGCAAAUCCAGGGAGAGCAGAUCGGUAGUUAGUGGGGCUGGAGAACUAUAGUGACUGACAACUAAGAUAUGGGGAGAACCAACUGGAACGAAACAUUUGUGACAGCCUCAGAGCCUGCUGAAAAUACUUACGGUGAAUUUCCUAAUGUAUGAAUGAUAUCUAAAUUUAAACGGUUUAAACAUUAAAAGAAAGGGAAAAAACAAGACUGUGUGGGGUGGCCAUCAAAGUUGGAGUCUAUCAACACAGACUAGUUUUGACUUUAAGAUUAAAUACA